GCCUGCUCCCGGCCGGGAUGUUGGCAGGCCCGGCCCCUCUCUGACGCAGGCGCUCUGAGGCGAUGCGGCAGGCCACGCCCACUCCCUUGCGGGUGGGGAGAGGAUGGGUGUGGCAAGCCGCGCGUGCGCAGAUGGAUGACACCAAGAAACAAAACGGACGGCUUGUCAACUCAGUCUGCCUCAGCUUCAGCGGGAUGGAUCCGGACCCUCUAUUGUGAUGUUGGAAUCUCACAGGAGGAACUCAGAUCAGACAUGAUACUCAGUCUCAUUUCACCACUGCACUGAUGCAGAGGAGAUGGAAGAAGUACAGAGGACAGCAGACAGCAUCUGCAUGCAAACACUAGGAGAACUGGUCAGAUGACAUGGACUCCAGUGCCAGCAAUAUGCAGGUGACACAUCUCUACCUAUCCUACACAGAGCCGGCCUUCAAUACGGGCCAACGGGGCAAAAGCCCGGGGCGCCAUUAUAAGCAGGGCGCCUCCGGAGCAGGAGUGCCCAUCCCUCCGCUGCUGCUCCUGGCCCCUGCAUUGGAGCCGCCCCUGGCCAGCUGCUCCCCGGAGGAUUCCUGUCAGCUGGGCAGAGCGGGGGGAGGGGGCACUGGUGUCAGGGUGUCCCCCUCCCCCCGCCCAUGUACCCAAUCUCCGCAGAGUGGGAGAAGAGCAGGGACAGGGCUCAGGAGUGAGAUGGAGCUGUUGGGGGCUGCUGCUGUCUGAACAAGCCUUCAGACUGGUGAGUGUCACUCUGCUUAAAGGGACAGCACUCUGUCUCACACACAUUCUCUCUCUCUCUCUCUCUCUCGCGCGCGCGCACACACACGUCUCUUUUGCACUCAACCCUCAAAACAUACUUGUGGUGGUGGUGGUGUUACUUCUUGGUACUUCCUGCAGUGCACAUAUAUUCUCUGUAAUUUUAUUCUUUCAAGUGCAGUUAUUUCAGUGUUUUGACUGGUCUAUGCAUUUCAUAAUUUUGUUUCUUUCUUAUGCUUACAUUUAAUUCCUUGAGUAGUGAGUUCUAAAAUGCUUAACCUGUUCUGGCUGGAGUAAUUAUCAUUAUUAGUUUUAUUACCGUGUUGUGCUUUGUCAUUCAUUAUUUAAAGUGGUACAAUCAAAUAAUAGUAUCCUUCUAGAAUGUAACUUUAGCUUGUACUAACCUUAGCAGUGGCAGUUUUAAAACCAUUAGCUAAACACAUAACUUUAGACACUGGGCCGAUGAAGGUUGCUUAUUUUUAAAUUGUAUUUUUAGUUAUAUCUGUAAAAUAACUUAAAAUGUUCAUGAAAAUAAACGAAGUUCCAACUAGGAUACCAAUAGCAAUGAUGGAGUCAAAUGUUAGUGAGUCAUGUACAUGCUUGUGAUUGGUAAACAUAAAUGCCAAAGAAAUUAGAAAAAUUAAUUCCCUUCCUUAAUAAAAGAGAAAAAAAACCCUUAAUCACGUAUGUUAAAAUUAAGUAUGUUUUUAGUGGAGUGAAAAACAAUUGACUAAAAUAGCAGUGUAACAGAGUGUGUCUGCUAGAGAAAGUUAGCAGAUUUUAUUUAUUUUUAUUUAUCGCUACUAAAGAUAGAGUACAAAGUAUCAAGUGUGUGUUUCUGAUAUUUGUGUUAAAGCUCCAGAAUUGAUACCUCAAGGCUUGGGAUUGGGAAUAUCUUGCUGUAUUAUCUUCUGAUUGUU
This is a long non-coding RNA of Mauremys reevesii (Reeves's turtle), 1666 nucleotides long. RefSeq lists it as uncharacterized. Lineage: Eukaryota; Metazoa; Chordata; Testudines; Geoemydidae. The transcript has 4 exons. The record is from RefSeq and is a predicted model, not a curated record.